AGGCUGGCACCAGGAUCCCU
RNAcentral lists this microRNA (20 nucleotides) under Mus musculus (house mouse). RNAcentral describes it as "mmu-miR-7679-5p". Lineage: Eukaryota; Metazoa; Chordata; Mammalia; Rodentia; Muridae. The record is from miRBase by way of RNAcentral.